UGUGUCCCCCAGGACACUCUGCUGGUCAGGGGCAGCUCAGUGUCCACCAGGUCAUUCUCCACAGCUGCUCCAGCAGCAAAUCUCUUCUCCGUUGGUUUUAGAGCAGACCACUGAGUGCUUGAUCCAUCUGUUUUCUAAAGCUUGAAAGUCCGCCUCUUGGAAGUGGCUUGUGAUUUCUUAAAAAAAAAAAAAGAACAUAAAAAAUAAUUUCUAGAUUCCUACAACAAAAGAGAGCUACACUAAGAAACUUGUAACUCAGUGCAACACUGGGACUAAAGAUAGCACCAAGAGAAUAUAUCCAACCCUUUUUAUCCAGCCUUUUCUUCAGGAAUCUUACAAGGAAAAAAACAUUCAUCAGCAAGAGUCAACCCUGACGAUAAAAUGCAGAAAUCAGUCUGAGUGUGCUGUGAGAGGCAGGUCUUUACCCCAAACGAGGAAAGGUGACUGUGGUGGUUUAUCAGAUGUGAUGUCGAUAUUGUCCAAGAGCUUGGAGUAA
RNAcentral lists this long non-coding RNA (496 nucleotides) under Parus major (Great Tit). RNAcentral's name for it is "lncRNA (ENSPMJG00000018728.1)". The record is from RNAcentral. Lineage: Eukaryota; Metazoa; Chordata; Aves; Passeriformes; Paridae.